Molecule: long non-coding RNA, 1594 nt
Organism: Populus euphratica (Euphrates poplar)
Lineage: Eukaryota; Viridiplantae; Streptophyta; Magnoliopsida; Malpighiales; Salicaceae
Exons: 3
Source: RefSeq, a predicted model, not a curated record
AAAAAGAUGUGAAAAGUACUUGAGAGUUUUUGGCAGUUGAAAAACGCUGCCAGAUAAAAGAAAAGCUGAAACCAUUUGAAUAAAAGUAAUAGAUAGGAUCUGACAUCCAUGACACAAACAUUUUGAGUUUAAGCAUUAGGGUUGUCUCACAAAGAACUGAAAAUUGGAAGAACAGUUGUGAACUGCAAUGCCCGGUCAAACAGUCAACCUGAUGUUCGUAUAUCCGUUUGAAAGUAAACCCACUGCAUGAUCCAACCGGAUAUAUGAAUUGAAAUAUCUGUUCGAAAAGGAAAAAAUUAAUCAAAAUUAUUGAAGUUAUUUAAACAGUCUUUUAUUUUUAUAUCAAAUGAUGUAUCUUCUAAAAACAAAAACAAGUCUUUGUUGGCGAUCUCGCUGUUUACCCAUUUGAGACAAGGCGCUCGUUCGAAGCCCGAUGAUUAUAGUUAUGGUUUCGUUAUAUCGGCGGAGGCGAGUUUUUGGGAUGCUAGAAUUGGUGGGAUUUUACGGCAAUAGUUGAUGGGUUUGGUUUGGAUUUGUUUGUUGGCUCUGCUAUUGUUGAUUCUUGCUUUAAGCUUUGGCGGGCGAUUAUAGCUAUUAAGAUGUUUGAUAGAUUGCCUUAAAGAGAUACUGUUUUGUUUAAUACAAUGAUAUCUGAGUUUGUUAAGAAUUCUUGUUUUGAGGAUUCAAUUAGAGUUUUUGGAGGUAUGACCCAAGUUUGAUUUGACCACAGUUAUAGCUGUUUCAUCACCUGCUGUGGCUGAGUUACAAAUCUGUGCAUUGCAUUUCUGUGAAAAAGGAAAUGUUUCGGAUAAGCUUAAUGACCUGUUUCAUGCAUCGUUUUCCCCCCUUUUGCUGUGUGUAUACCAACGUCGAAAAAAAGAAAAAUCACCUGUGACAAAUUUGAUAGUGGUUUAGCGAAAGCAGUUAUGAUUUUCUGGUUUUAUUGAUUUCUAUGGGAUGUGCAUGCGAUUCUCCAUUUGGGAAAAAAAUGAAAUCAACAAAUUUUUCCACUGCUUUUUUCGCAUGCUGCUUACAUUAUCUGGAGCUGAACACAAAGGUUUGUUUAUAAUUUCCCCUCAGUUUUCUGACAAUCUAGUUCUUAUUGAAGGGUUAGGACAAGAGCGAUUGUAAGUUAUUUUGGAGAUCGUGAUAUCCUUCAUUGAACGUGACCGAUGGAUAAUAGCGGAGACUUGCCUCGCAGCUAAGCUCAAAGAUAAUAGAAAAUGUCAUCCUUCUGUCAUCAAUCUCAAGAUAUAUUUAAGAAACAAGCAGAAAUCGACAGUGGUAUAAAUAGAUAAUAGCAUCUUCCAGCAUGGGAUCCUUAAUCAAUGAAGGAUUUGAGGUUAAGUUCUUCUAGUGAGGGGUUCUGUGAAGAUCUUCACAAGAGCACUAGGAUUUGCUUUGAAAUCCAUGUUCAAGCACUUCGAGUUUUCUUGAUUGACAGGGAAUUUCAUACAGUUUAGAAGAAAUCCAAUUUUAAGGUCCCCUGGUUUUCAUCACAAAUGGAUCAAUCCGGACCCAAAGCAAGGAGAAGAUGGAAGCCAAGAGCACUGACCAUAUAACCACUAUAGUCGGUGUCCUGUUUUGCCUCCCC